Molecule: ribosomal RNA, 534 nt
Filed under: uncultured bacterium
Lineage: Bacteria
Description: bacterial SSU rRNA
Rfam family: Bacterial small subunit ribosomal RNA
Source: RNAcentral
GGGCCUUGGUAGCGCAGCUAACGCGUGAAGUUGACCGCCUGGGGAGUACGGUCGCAAGAUUAAAACUCAAAGGAAUUGACGGGGACCCGCACAAGCGGNGGAUGAUGUGGAUUAAUUCGAUGCAACGCGAAAAACCUUACCUACCCUUGACAUGUCUGGAAUGCCGAAGAGAUUUGGCAGUGCUCGCAAGAGAACCGGAACACAGGUGCUGCAUGGCUGUCGUCAGCUCGUGUCGUGAGAUGUUGGGUUAAGUCCCGCAACGAGCGCAACCCUUGUCAUUAGUUGCUACGAAAGGGCACUCUAAUGAGACUGCCGGUGACAAACCGGAGGAAGGUGGGGAUGACGUCAAGUCCUCAUGGCCCUUAUGGGUAGGGCUUCACACGUCAUACAAUGGUCGGGACAGAGGGUCGCCAACCCGCGAGGGGGAGCCAAUCCCAGAAACCCGAUCGUAGUCCGGAUCGCAGUCUGCAACUCGACUGCGUGAAGUCGGAAUCGCUAGUAAUCGCGGAUCAGCAUGUCGCGGUGAAUACGUUC